Molecule: ribosomal RNA, 313 nt
Filed under: uncultured bacterium
Lineage: Bacteria
Description: bacterial SSU rRNA
Rfam family: Bacterial small subunit ribosomal RNA
Source: RNAcentral
GAUGAACGCUGGCGGCGUGCCUAACACAUGCAAGUCGAACGGACUCAUAUUGAAACCUAGUGAUUUAUGAGUUAGUGGCGGACGGGUGAGUAACGCGUGGAAAACCUGCCGUAUACCGGGGGAUAACACUUAGAAAUAGGUGCUAAUACCGCAUAAGCGCACAGCUUCGCAUGAAGCAGUGUGAAAAACUCCGGUGGUAUACGAUGGUUCCGCGUCUGAUUAGCUAGUUGGCGGGGUAACGGCCCACCAAGGCAGCGAUCAGUAGCCGGACUGAGAGGUUGGCCGGCCACAUUGGGACUGAGACACGGCCCAG